Molecule: transfer RNA, 96 nt
Filed under: Galerina marginata CBS 339.88
Lineage: Eukaryota; Fungi; Basidiomycota; Agaricomycetes; Agaricales; Galerinaceae
Rfam family: tRNA
About the family: Transfer RNA (tRNA) molecules are approximately 80 nucleotides in length. Their secondary structure includes four short double-helical elements and three loops (D, anti-codon, and T loops).
Source: Rfam by way of RNAcentral
UGUCCCAUGGCUUAGUUGGUUACGGCGUCCGACUGUUACAAACUUGCGAGUUUGCACGUCAUCGGAAGAUCGAGAGUUCAAGUCUCUCUGGGACAG